AUUCCGUGAUGAGGGCACUUCCGUAAUAAUUCUUUGUACCUUUCUCAUGCCUCAUACAAUGACUCAUCAUAUUUGUUGGAAAACAGUGAUCCUGUUCCUCAACUU
This is a non-coding RNA of Gossypium raimondii (Peruvian cotton), 105 nucleotides long. The record is from Rfam. NCBI's taxonomy places the organism in Eukaryota, Viridiplantae, Streptophyta, Magnoliopsida, Malvales, Malvaceae.